UAAUACGAGGGGGGCAAGCGUUGUCCGGAAUUAUUGGGUGUAAAGGGCUCGUAGGCGGAUCGAUCAGUCGAGAUUUAAAUCUCACGGCUCAACCGUGAACCUGGUCUCGAUACUGCCGGUCUUGAGUUCGGUAGAGGAAAGUGGAAUUCCUGGUGUAGCGGUGAAAUGCGUAGAUAUCAGGAGGAACGUCGAUGGCGAAGGCAGCUUUCUGGGCCGCAACUGACGCUGAGGAGCGAAAGCAUGGGUAGCGAACAGGAUUAGAUACCCUGGUAGUCCAUGCCGUAAACGAUGAGUACUUGAUGGUGGGGGAUUCGACCCCUUCACUGUCGGAGCUAACGCGUUAAGUACUCCACCUGGGGACUACGGCCGCAAGGCUG
Molecule: ribosomal RNA, 377 nt
Filed under: uncultured bacterium
Lineage: Bacteria
Description: bacterial SSU rRNA
Rfam family: Bacterial small subunit ribosomal RNA
Source: RNAcentral